GAUGAAGAACGUAGCGAAAUGCGAUACUUGGUGUGAAUUGCAGAAUCCCGUGAACCAUCGAGUCUUUGAACGCAAGUUGCGCCCGAAGCCACUAGGCCGAGGGCACGCCUGCCUGGGCGUCACACGCCGUUGCCCCCCCAUCUACUCCUUCGGGAUUGCGGGGGGGCGGAUGAUGGCCUCCUGUGCGCCUAGCCGCGCGGUUGGCAUAAAUACCAAGUCCUCGGCGACGCACGCCACGACAAUCGGUGGUUGCGAAACCUCGGUUGCCCGUCGUGUGCGUUCGUCGCGCAUCGAGGGCUCGAAAAAAUGCUCGGCUCCGGCUGGGCUUUCAACGCGACCCCAGGUCAGGCGGGGUUACCCGCUGAAUUUAAGCAUAUCAUAAGCGGAGA
RNAcentral lists this unclassified non-coding RNA (389 nucleotides) under soil metagenome. RNAcentral describes it as "partial contains 5.8S ribosomal RNA, internal transcribed spacer 2, and large subunit ribosomal RNA". The stretch from base 1 to 122 matches the Rfam family "5.8S ribosomal RNA", at positions 35 to 154 of the family's 154-position model. The record is from RNAcentral.